RNAcentral lists this long non-coding RNA (14898 nucleotides) under Podarcis lilfordi (Lilford's wall lizard). Lineage: Eukaryota; Metazoa; Chordata; Lepidosauria; Squamata; Lacertidae. The record is from RNAcentral.
CCCCCUUUUUAUUUCUUUGUUCUCUAUUCACUUUUUAUUUCCCUUUUUAUUAUUCAAGUAUUCUCAAUUUAAAUUGUGUGGUUGAACCCGGAUCCAGGCCUCUUGGCCCUCAUCAAAACUUCGCUUUGUUAACGGAAAAAUCCGAGAGCUCCCUUGGACAAAAACAAAGACACCAACCAGGAUAACUUGGAGCAAAACAGCAGCCUGUAGGCUUGGCCUUUAUUGAACUGUUGCAACAGGGUGCUCCCCUCACUUGCAGGAGAGAGAAAGGACACAGAAAAAUGGUGUGCAAGGCCUUAUAAAGACUUUUGACAUUCCCACCCUGUAGGUCAAGCCCACCCCCAGAAACAUCACGCAUACAUCACAGAAAGGAGGGGUUGAGGGAGGAGUUGUGGUGGUAACCUGAGUGUCCUGUCACCUGGCUGGUUCCCCCUUUCCCCCUCCCCAUGAGUACUUUCCAGAUGACGGAGGGGAGUUGGCAGUUUCCUGCCCCCAGAGGGAAGAUCUGAUCAUUGUCCUUUGUUUCAGUCCAUGCUGAAUCCACUCCCACAUGCAAGUUCUUUGUGAUCUUGAUGGUCUUCUGUCUGGGACCAUCAGGGUUGGCAUAGCAACUGGGCAGGGCUCCUGUGGAUGUGCUGGGAUGGUGAAGGGAUUAUGGCUGACCAGUAUCAAACCUUCCCCAUUUUGUAGUCCUUCCUUCAUGGAGUAAAAUAAAAGUGGAACAGUGCAGAUCCGAUGUAUGGUGGAUUUUCUAUGAAUUUAUAACAGAAGCCUAGCGUAUGUCGUGUGUGAGUGUGUGAGUGUGUGUGUGGGUGAGUGUGUGUGAAGUUUGUGCAAACUGAAUGAUGGGGGGGGGUUUCCUGCGACAAGGGAGAGAGAGACCCGCCCCCCCCGCCGUUUCUGGGAGAGCCCUCCUUUCCUUUCCUUUCCCUUCCGCUCCCCUCCCAAGAGGCUCCCCCUUGUGUCUCUCUGUGUCUCUGAGGGACGAGAGAGGAGGCGCCCCUCCCCCCGCCGCUUCUUCCCCUCAACGACGUUUCCCGCCUUUUCCCAACUGCCUCGCCUCCGUUUUGGCGCCAAGGAUUCCGGGCAGACCAGGCGGCGCUUUCCCGGGGCUUGAGGGGCGGAUUUCUCUUCAGGCCUCUCGCUUUGCAAGCUCCUCUCUCUUUGGAAAGGCGGGAUGAAAACUCCCUUCGCCUCUGCCUGCAUCCCUCGCAGGACUGAAAAGUCCGAUUUCUUUCCAUUUGCUACGUCUAAUGUCCGCUUUGGGUCUAGUUUGCCGCUGGCAUAAAGUACCUCUUUUUUCAGCUGAUCUGAAGGUCUAAAUCAUUGGCCCAAAGCUGCUUUAUUGGUUAACCAUUUUCCAUGGGUCCUUUGUACGUGGGUCUCCUGAAAGCUUAUUACAGUAAAUCUCAUUUUGGCCUCCCCCCAAGAUCGCGAGUGCGAUUCAUUCCUUGCCUGGGACACUUCUUCAUCUCCCUAUUUUCCUGGUGGGGGAAAGGUGAUUUUCGGGGGGGGAGGGGUCUCCUGACUGGGAAGCCCCCCCUCCCCCCCGCUGAGCUGGAGGGUGUCCCUUGGGGGGGUGUCUUGAGGGAGCCAUUGCUGAGCCCAAGGCACCUCCCGCCACUAGGCAGCCCUUCGCUUCUCCUCCCUCCCAGGAGAUAAGGGGGGAGGGAAGGGGGGCAGCCCCUAGAGCGCAGGCGCAGAAGCAGGAAAACUGAAGGCAGGGAGAGGGAGGGGAGGACUCGGGGCGCUCGGCUUGUCAAGGGUUAAAAGGAGCAGAGCGGGAUUCCUAGAGAGGACAGGAAGUGAAGGGGGUGAAGGUCCUCCAUGGGUAAAUUCCCCCCUCCCCCUCCCUUCCUGCUUUCUUCUCUCUCCAUUGCAAAAGCCCCUCCUGGACUCGGGUGAGUCUCCUCUCUCUUCCCCCUGAGGGUGCAAUGGGGAGAAGGGGGUCCCAGGGGGGCAGGGAGGGGGCGUGGGGGGUCCCUGCUCAGAUCAUGCAUGAUGGGGGGAGACCCCCAAGUCAGGGAGCAGAGGGUCCUCCCUUGUCCUCUCUGCCAAGCCAGGGAGGGGCCAAGUCGCAGGAAAUAUGCAGCUCUGCUCUUCCUUGGGAUCCAGAUGCUGCCUUCCUUUUGGGGGGAGGGGGCUUUGAGUCAAGAAAAUAAACCCCCUUCAGAUGGAGGGAAAAGUCACAUUUAAGAACAGAGGCUGCAGCCAGACGGGAACAUUCCCACGUGGGGGGAGCGCAGGGAGAAGAAAAGCCCGUCUGCAUCUGCAGCACCACUGCAUCUCCAGACCACUUCCUGUGUCCCAGAUGCAACAAAACAUGUCUCUCCCCCAGAUCUCACUCCCAAAGAAAACACUCUUCCAUUGUCUCCUAAGACAGGUGGAAGCCAACCAGCCAACCAUUCCCUCCCCUCACAAUGCACAAUGGGGCUUCCCCUCCCCUGACGUACCACUUUAGAUAAUGGGGCCUCCACUACCACCGCCGUGCGAUUUCUGUUCUUAUCCUGAAGCAAAGUUCUUAACCCGAGGUACUAUUUCUGAGUUAGCGGAGUCUGUAACCUGAAGCGUCUGUAAACCAAAGUACCACUCUACCCAUCAUUUAAAUACACAACAAAAUUGUUACAGAAAAGAACAGAGCAAUGUUUAGAAAAAUAUCAUCUUUCUUCUCCCUUUUUCUCUUAGGGUCCAGUGUGCCUUGAAGACGUAGCUGUUCCUUUCACAGAGGAGGACUGGGCUUUGCUGGAUCCUGACCAGAGAGCUCUGCAGAAGGAAGUCAAGGAGGAGAAUCCUGGGAUCGUGGCCUCUCUGGUAAGGCUCCCUGCUGGAUCAUAAGAUCAGUUUUGAAAUUCCAUACAGAUCUCUGAAGGACAAGCCUCCUCUAUUUUGAGGGAGCCCCAUAGCGCCACCUACAGCAUCUGAGAUGUUAACACACCCACAACUCUCCUGGAAUGGAAAACUCAAUAGGAGAUGUAUCUCCUGUUCUGUCUGGGAAUAUUCUUCCACCAGUCCUGCCUUUUCCAACCGUGAGGAGGCUGGUCUGAGCUGCCCAGGCCUUCUUCAAUGUAGGCUUCAGAGAUCUUAGGGACGUGGAGGUACAUCCUGUCUAAUUUUCUUUUUCCCUUUCUACAUUUGUCUGGCUUCAUUCUGUUGGUGAAUCUAAUUUUCCAUGAAAUAUUUCCUACAGGGGACCGUUUAGAAUGUGGAAAAAGCUUCACCUAGGAAACCAGUCUCAAUUUCCAUUAAAUAAAAAACAGCAGGGAUAAUUAUAGAAUUUUAGAAAAUGGUAUAAGGCAUAUGGUAUAAGGUAUAACUGGUAUUAGGAAACUUCAUGAGGAAUUAAGGGGAGAGAUAGCGUUGACCUGGAGUAGUUACAAAAUUUGUGGUCUCUCCCCGAGUGCCAGGGACCCUCCUCCAAAGAGAGCUUUUUUUUGUCAGAAUAAUUCAUUUUUUCCCAAUUUUUGGCAAUUAAUUGGCAAUAAAUGUUCUCACUGCCACGGUGGCGUAAAGAAAUAUUUGCUUAUUUAAAACAUCUUUAUCAAAUUUUCUGUUAUUGCCUCACAAGCCGUAAAAUUCCAACUCUCCUUCCAUAAUUUUUCCCAUGAUGUUACUUCAAUAGGUUUCCAUAAAUCCAUAGCCAAUUUGAUCAUUACCGCCUUUACCUGUUCAUCCAUAUCCUCCCACUCCAAUAAGAUUCCAUACAUUUAACAAAUUACUUUUGUUUUGUUUUGUAGUAAUUCUUUAUCCAAUACUGAAAUUGCAAAAUCCAUUUUCUUGUCAGCUUUGAAGACCUCAUUUAUUUGGUGAUACUGGAUCCACCCUGUUAGGUGGUGUUUUAUUUCCUCCCGCAUUUUGGUCAGACUCACGUUUGUAGCUUCGAGAACACUGUCCAGCCAUCUCAUCCUCUGUCGUCCCCUUCUCCUUGUGCCCUCCAUCUUCCUGGUAUAAUUCCCUGGAGAGCCAGUGUGGUAUAGUGGUUAAGAGUGGUAGUCUCGUAAUCUAGUGAACUGGAUUCGCUCCUCCACAUGCAGCUGCUGGGUGACCUUGGGCUAGUGCCACUUCUCUGAAGUCUCUCAGCCCCACUCACCUCACAGAGUGUUUGUUGUGGGGGAGGAAGGGAAAGGGGGAGGAAGCCGCUUUGAGACUCCUUCCGGGUAGUGAUAAAGCAGAAUAUCAAAUCCAAACUCUUCUUCUUCUUCAGCAGAAUAUCAAAUCCAAACUCUUCUUCUUCUUCUUCAGCAGAAUAUCAAAUCCAAACUCUUCUUCUUCUUCUUCAGCAGAAUAUCAAAUCCAAACUCCUCCUCCUCCUCCUCCUCUUCUUCUUCUUCUUCUUCUUCUUCUUCUUCUUCUCCUCCUCCUCCUCCUCCUCCUCCUCCUCCUCCUCUGUGUAUACUUGUCCCCUCUUCUUGAUGUCUUGAUAUCUUCUGCUUCUGUUAGGUCAUUACCACUUUGGUCCUUUAUUAUGGUAAUCUUUGUACAAAAUGUCCCUUUCAUAUCUCCAAUUUUCCUGUACAGAUCUCUGGUUUUUCCCAUUCUACUGUUUUCCUCUAUUUCUUUGCAUUGCUCGUUUAAGAAGGCCCUCUUGUGUCUCCUUGCUAUUCUUUGGAAAUCUGUAUUCUAUUUCUUGUAGGUCUGCCUUGGAUUCAUAUUGAGAUCGUUCUAUCAUUUUUGAGAUAGCAUCCCAGUACAGUGGUGGCUCGCAAGACGAAAAACGCGCAAGACGAAAAACGCGCAAGACGAAAGAGUGUUCCGUUUUUUGAGUCGUUCCGCAAGACGAAUUUCCCUAUGGGCUUGCUUCGCAAGACGAAACGUCUUGCGAGUUCUUGUGAGUUUGUUUCCUUUUUCUUAAAGCCGUUAAUAGCCGCUAAGCCGCUAAUAGCCGUGCUUCGCAAGACGAAAAAACCACAAGACGAAGAGACUCGCGGAACGGAUUAAUUUCGUCUUGCGAGGCACCACUGUACAGCUUUUGCCACUCUUUUGUUGACUACGAGGGCCACUCCAUUUCUUUUAAAGGAUUCUUGCCCACAGUAGUAGUUAUGGUGGUCAUCUGAACUGAAUUUGCCCAUCCCUGUCCAUUUUAGUUCACUGAUGCCCAGGAUGUCAAUAUUUAUUCUUGCCAUCUCAUUUUCACCACAUCCAACUUACCUUUCGGCUUUGGCCCAGCCGUUUCAUCAGCUCUGAAUCUACUUGUCCUUGUCCUCCUCUCUUCCUCAGUACCAUGUUGGACGCCUUCUGACCUGAGGGGCUCAUCUUCCAGCGUCAUCACUUUUAUAUGCCUGUUGCCUUUGUCCAUGGAGUUUUCUUGGCAGGGAUACUGGAGUGGCUUGCCGGUUCCUGCUCCAGGUGGAUCACGUUUGGUCUAAACUCUCCACUAUAUCCUGUCCAUCUUGGGUGGCCCUGCACAGCUUAGCUCAUAGCGUCUCUGAGUUAUUCAAGCCCCUUCGUCACAACAAGGCAGUGAAAGUGGCCCAAUUCAAUUCCAUAUUUUUCUUUUCCCCAGUUAUUGCUUCCUGAGGUGAAAUCUACCGGGGGGUUUAGGUUCUAAGACCACUUUAUGUUUUUCCCAUACUCUAUAUAUCAAUUUUCUUAUUAUAUGAUUCAAAAUUGAUUUCUUUCCAUGUUUUAAUAUAAUUGUCUUUAAAUAGGUUGGUGUUUUCAUUUGUCAGCAAGAUUUCAAAAUACUUAGUUUUAUUUACUGUUUCCAAUCCUGAUAUUUUCUUUAGUUCUUCUUUUUCCUGUGUUGACAUAUUUUUUGCUAGCAUACUAGUCUUUUUUUAAUUUAAUUUAAAUCCUGCCACUUCCAAAUUUAAGGAUUUCCCCUCUUAUUUCUGGUAUGCUUUCCUCCAGAUUUUCAGAAGUUAGAAUUAAAUUGUCUGCAAAGGCCUUCAUCUUCUGCGACUUCUUCCCCAUUGUUAGACCUUUUAUGCCUUGGUCACUCCUUGUUGUCAUUGCUAAGAAUUCUAGUACCGUAAUAAAAAGUAGAGGUGAAAGGGGGCAGCCUUGCCUGGUCCCCUUACUUACUUUACUUCUCUUAUUUCACGAUUUAGUAUCAAUUUGGCUCUCUGAUUUCAAUAUAUUGCCUCAAAACCACUAAUAAUAUUUUCUCCGAGUCCUGUUUUUUCUGUAGUUUUUUUCAUGGAGCUCCAAGAAAGAAGAUUCCACCUAAACAUUAGGAAGAACUUCCUGACAGUAAGAGCUGUUUGACAGUGGAAUUUGCUGCCAAGGAGUGUGGUGGAGUCUCCUUCUUUGGAGGUCUUUAAACAGAGGCUUGACAACCAUAUGUCAGAGUGCUCUGAUGGUGUUUCCUGCUUGGCAGGGGUUGGACUCGAUGGCCCUUGUGGUCUCUUCCAACUCUAUGAUUCUAUGAUUCUAGANNNNNNNNNNNNNNNNNNNNNNNNNNNNNNNNNNNNNNNNNNNNNNNNNNNNNNNNNNNNNNNNNNNNNNNNNNNNNNNNNNNNNNNNNNNNNNNNNNNNNNNNNNNNNNNNNNNNNNNNNNNNNNNNNNNNNNNNNNNNNNNNNNNNNNNNNNNNNNNNNNNNNNNNNNNNNNNNNNNNNNNNNNNNNNNNNNNNNNNNAAAGGUUUUUGUCUGAGUGGUGAUCUGACUUCCCAUCAAAGACUUCAUACAGGAGAGAAACCGUAUCACUGCUUGGAAUGUGGAAAGAGCUUUCGUCUGAGUGGUGAUCUGACUUCCCAUCAAAGAGUUCACACAGGGGAAAAACCCUAUCAGUGCUUGGAAUGUGGAAAGAGCUUUCGUCAGAGUGGUGAUCUGACUUCCCAUCAAAGAAUUCAUACAGGGGAGAAACCCUAUAUGUGCUUGGAAUGUGGGAAAAGCUUCCGGGAGGGCCACAAGCUCACUUCCCAUCAAAGAAUUCAUACAGGUGAGAAACCCUAUCAGUGCUUGGAAUGUGGAAAGAGCUUCAGUCAAAGUGCCACACUCUCUUACCAUCACAGAAUUCAUACAGGGGAGAAACCCUAUCAGUGCUCAGAAUGUGGGAAGCGCUUCAGUCAGGAGGGGAAUCUCACUUCUCAUCAAAGAAUUCAUACAGGGAGAAACCCUAUCAGUGCUCAGAAUGUGAAAAGAGCUUCAGUCGGAAGGAUAGUCUCACUUCCCAUCAAAGAAUCCAUACAAGAGAGAAAACGGUUUAGUGUUUGGAAUGUGGGAAAAGAUUCGUUCAUGGCCCACCAAAUAAUUCAUACGGGGUUGAAAGCAUAUCAGCACACGGAAUGUGUAUAAAAUUUCACUUGUUCAAAAGUCAAUUUAAGAUCUCACACCAGGGUGAAGUAUAGAAUUAUAGAUUCAGAAUCUAGUCCAGCCCCCUCCAGAAAUCUCAUUUCAAGCAUCCAUGACAGGUGGCCAUCCAACUUCUUCUUAAAACCCCCCAAGGAAGGUCCACCCCCCUUCUGAGAGAGUUCCUUUUCACAGUCAGCUCUUACUAUCAGAGAGAGAAUAUAAAAAGACUUUGGAGAAGACUUCCGGUGUGAUGGCCUAUGGCGUUUGGCUGCUUUCCCAGGACACCGGACCCUAGUCGUGCAAUUAAACAAGGUGAAUCUGGGGGUAAUUAUCCCUGUUGAACCCUGCAGGGAUGGGGCGCACGUGCCUUCACCCGCACGCCGUCCGAUAUCUGCUGCUCGCUACAGUGGAGGCAGGGGCGCUGGGUGUUUAGCAUUGCACGAAUUGGAAAAUCUCCAAUGCCAACGCCAUGAGCGGGAGCAUUCCUGUUUUUCAACAAAGAUUUGAAUUUGGACUUUGAAAGGACUUUUGUCGCUCUGCUACAGAAGAUGUGAGGUGAGCAUCUCAUCUUUGCUUAUACUUGCUACUGUUGGGCCAACGCCCUCCCUCAUCUGUCUGAAUGGUGAGGAACUUCGCCCGUAGUAGCAGAGUACAGCAGAAGCAGACUCUGGCUGGAAAGCAGCAUCGAGAAGAUAAGAAGGCAACAGAGCGACAGAGCUGACUCACGCAGCCGUAUCCUUCAGCAAAAGCCAGAUGCAAGGACCAGAGGGGAGGAGGAGGAGAUAUAGAAAUUGCUCCCGUUCUCACACGAUGAUACAUUAGGUAAUUAGGCAAUUAAAGGCACAGUGUCACACUGUGCAAUGAAAGAAUGAAACACUGCAGUACUGACACCUACUUCAUGAUUUGGCAAGCCUCAUGGAGAAAGAUUCAAUUAAUUAAAUGGAAUGCAAGUGAAACUUCAUUAAAAAACUUGAGAAUUUGAUGUUUAAUGGUGCGGUCCUUUGUGGAGGGCUCUAAUUAUUAUUGGCAAGGUAUCAGCUUGUUUGAAGAUAUGGAGAGACUUUGCUGAAAUACCGUGUUACCAGAGAAUGAGGCUGUAAUUUCAACUGCGUCACACGCCAUCUUCUCUCCCUUUUUUGUUAUUGUUUGAGUCCAGAUAGAGAGUAAUCUGGCGUCCCGCCAAAGCUCUGGCAAGACUCCAGCUUCUCCUUCCGUCCAACUCUCUCAAUAACGAUCUGGCAUCCUGCCAAAGCCAUAGCCGAUCAUCAAAGCUCAAAUUCCAUUUCCUUCCAAAGGAAUACAGUGAAAGUCCAUCUGCUUGCAUGGACUUUUGUCAUAUAUGGAUUUAUAAAAGUGAAGGUGAAUCUUUGAUCUUUGUAAUCUUCCCUUAGGGCUCAGGGGGAGCAAGCUUGGAUUCUAGAGGAACCAAACAAGUAUUAACUGUGAAAUCUAUCGCACAGUGUGGUCUCUUACAGAAGAUUCUUCGGUUUGGGAAAAUAUCAGUCAGUUAAAAUACAUUACAUGUGUCUUAAUUUUAACUAAACAAAGGAAAGCUGGAAGACAGCCCAGAGUCCUGGAAGAUAAGACAGUGGAAUGAAAUAGGGCCUUCUGUUUUUUGUUUUUUUUAAAUGAUUUUUAUUAAGGUUUCUGUAAAAAGUUAAACAGAAAAACAUAAAAAAGAAAUACACAAAUACACAGUACAUAAUCCAAAAAAGAAUAAUCCGUUUUUAAAUUUACUUAUUUUCUGGACCUCCUCAUACCUCCCUCUUUUGUAUUCCAGUCCAAAUUGUUUGUCCAGCAAUUUCUUUUCCACUUUUUUAAUCUCAAUCUUUAAUCUUAAUGUAAUAUAACAUUAAAAUUUUACCUCUUAAGUACCAAAUUUCCAUUUCCUUAAACAUCUUUAAUCCUAAUCUUUAAUCUUAGUCUAUCUAUAACUUUAAAUCCUGUACAGCUGGAAACCACUUAUUUUCAAUUCAACAUCACUCUAACAUUCUUUAAUUUUGCAGUGUUUCUGAAGAUAAUCUUUGAAUUUCUUCCAAUCUUCCUCCACCAAGUCUUCUCCUGGUCACGGAUUCUGCCAGUCAUUUCCGCCAGUUCCAUAUAGUCCAUCAGUUUCAUCUGCCAUUCCUCCAGCGUGGGAAGUUCUUGUGUCUUCCAAUACUUUGCGAUGAGUAUUCUUGCUGCUGUUGUUGCAUACAUAAAGAAAGUUCUAUCCUUUUUUAGCACCAUUUGGCCGACUAUGCCCAGGAGAAAGGCCUCUGGUUUCUUAGGGAAGGUAUAUUUAAAUACCCUUUUCAUUUCAUUAUAAAUCAUCUCCCAGAAAGCCUUAAUCUUUGGGCACGUCCACCAAAGGUGAAAAAAUGUACCUUCAGUUUCUUUACAUUUCCAACAUUUAUUAUCGGGCAAAUGAUAGAUUUUCGCAAGCUUGACUGGGGUUAUGUACCACCUGUAUAUCAUUUUCAUAAUAUUCUCUCUUAAGGCAUUGCAUGCCGUAAAUUUCAUACCUGUGGUCCACAACUGUUCCCAGUCAGCAAACAUAAUGUUAUGUCCAACGUCUUGUGCCCAUUUAAUCAUAGCUGAUUUUACCGUUUCACAUUAACUGUGAAAUCUAUCGCUCUUACAGAAGAUUCUUCAGUUUGGGAAAAUAUCAGUCAGUUAAAAUACAUUACAUGUGUCUUAAUUUUAACUAAACAAAGGAAAGCAGGAAGACAGCCCAGAGUCCUGGAAGAUAAGAUGGUGGAAUGAAAUAGGGCCUUCUGAGGAGGGACUGCACCGAAAACAAUUGAUGGACAACAACAAGAAGAGCACAAUUUUCAUCAUGCAUGUUAAUUUAGAUAUAGAUCUGUUAAAUAUGAUGAAAGUUGCAUGCCAGUGGCUGUCAAGAUAAGAUAAAGGAUUAAGAUCGGGAUGAUAUUAGGAAUAAAUAAAAGAGAGAAAAGUAGGAACAAGAACCCCCCCAAAAAAAUAAUCUCAUCAAUCUUUGACUUUUGUCUUUUGGGUUUCUCUGUUGUUAUUCUGUCUCUCACAGCUACAAUAAACCUACCAUUAAUAUUGUGGACUAGGCAUUUCUUCGUCAGAGGGCAAAAAACCCAAAUUUAGCAGGGGAUCAAAUACUUUCCCCCCUCACUCUAUUUGUUUACACUCACACACACACCUGGCUCUCGUUUGAAAGAGGAGUGAGAGGCGGAGGCACUUUACUGACAGAAUGGCAUUUCCACGGCACCUCCUUUCCUCCCAGGAGCUCCUCCUUCCACAACCCUGCCAGGCUGGCCGCUUGCCUUUCACCCCCUUUCCAGCACUGCGUGGCUUAGUGUGGCAGCACCUGCCCUUUGGAACUCCCCGCCUCUUGCAAUAAUAAUAAUAAUAAUAAUAAUAAUUCUAGAAUGGCAUUUCCCUCGCACCUCCUUUCCUCCCAGGAGCUCCCCCUUCCACAACAACCCUGCCAGGCUGGCCUCUUGCAUGUCGCCCCCUUCCAGCAGGCGAAGCUGCAGGGGCCACUCACUUCCUGGCCCUCCAAAAAUGGAGGAGGCCUUUGACCCUGGAUGAGCCUGAGAGGAGCCUUGAGGGGGCAGAGAGGGCUCGCCUCCCAGACUUUUCCGCCAUCCAUUUAUUACUACUGUUGAUUAAACUUAGGCCUCUCGGGGCUCUGGCACCCGGCACAGUUAUUUCAAAUGAUCUCAAACCCUAAAAUGGAUUGACAGGUAACUGACAGACGUGGAUGAUCUCUAGAGAUAUAGGGCAGCUGCCGGAUGCCCCCCUUGGUUGGGCCUGUGAUGGACAGCAGAGCCAGGCCAGUCAGCGGACUUCGUCCCUCAGAAAUUCCCCCAGGGGCUGGAGCCUCGCUCUGAUUGGCUCCUAAGCCAGCGGGGGGCGGAGCCAGGCCUUUUGGCGGGAAGAUGCAAGGCGCCUUUUCUGAGGGGGGAGCUUGGAGGGGAAGGUGGGUAGGAGAGGAAGAGGAGUCAGGCGGGAGUUGAAGGGGAGAAGCUGGGGGGAGGGAAGGGAGACCCCUAAGAAGGAGGGCUGAGGGGACCCCUGGGUGUGGGGGGCGGAGGGAAGGAGACCCCCAAGAAGGAGGGCUGAGGGACCCCUGGGUGUGGGGGCGGACUGAGAGGGGAGGGAAGGAGACCCCAAGAAGGAGGGCUGAGGGACCCCGGGGUGUGGGGGCGGACUGAGGGGGAGGGAAGGAGACCCCAAGAAGGAGGGCUGAGGGGACCCCCUGGGUGUGGGGGCGGACUGAGGGGAGGGAAGGGAGACCCCCAAGAAGGAGGGCUGAGGGGACCCCCUGGGUGUGGGGGCGGACUGAGGGGGAGGGAAGGAGACCCCAAGAAGGAGGGCUGAGGGGACCCCUGGGUGUGGGGGCGGACUGAGAGGGGGGCGGAGGGAGACCCCAAGAAGGAGGGCUGAGGGGACCCCCUGGGUGUGGGGGGCGGACUGAGAGGGGGGGCGGAGGGAGACCCCCAAGAAGGAGGGCUGAGGGGACCCCCUGGGUGUGGGGGGCAGAGGGAAGGGAGACCCCCAAGAAGGAGGGCUGAAGGGACCCCCUGGGUGUGGGGGGCGGACUGAGGGGGGGAGCGGAGGGAGCCCCUAAGCGCAGGCGCGGGGAGAGGGAGGGCUGGGCUUGCAAGGGUUAAGAGGAGCAGAGCGGGAGUCCUAGAGAGGACGGGAAGUGAAGGGGGAGUGAAGGUCCUCCAUGGCGAAAUCCCCCCUCCCCCUCCCUCCCUGCCUUCUUCUUCUCUCUCCUUUGCAAAAGCCCCUCCUGGACUCGGGUGAGUCUCCUCUCUCCUCCCCUGAGGGUGCAAUGGGGAGAAGGGGGUCCCAGGGGGGCAGGGAGGGGCAUGGGGGUCCCUGUUCAGAUCAUGCCUGGGGAGACCCCCAAGUCGGGGAGCAGAGGGUCCUCCCUUGUCCUCUCUGCCAAGCCAGGGAGGGGCCAGUUUGCAGGAAAUAUGCAGCUCUGCUCUUCCUUUUUAGGGAGGGGGCUUCGGGUCAAGAAAGUAAACCCCCUUCAAAGGGAGGGAAAAGUCACCUUUGUGAACUGAGGCUGCAGCCAGACGGGAACAUUCCCACGUGGGGGGAGCACAGGGAGAAGAAAAGCCCGUCUGCAUCUGCAGCAGCACAUCAGGACCACUUCCUCUGUCCCAGAUGCAACAAUAUUAUAUUAUACAACAUAAUAUUACUACUACUACUAAUAAUAAUUUAUUUGUACCCCGCCCAUCUGGCCGGGUUUCCCAGCCACUCUGGGCGGCUUCCACAAAAACGAAAAAGACACUAUUAUGUCAUACAUUUAAAACUUCCCUGAGCAGGGCUGCCUUAAGAUGUCUUCUGAAUGUCAGGUAGUUGUUUAUGUCUCUCCCCUGUCGCUCUCCACACCCACAGCUGGCGCUGUGACCUUCCAACAACUGGAUCUCACUCCCAAAGACACACUCUUCCAUGGUCUCCCAAGACAGAUGACUGCCAACCAGCCAACCAUUCCCUCCCCUCCCCCUCCUGGUGCCCCUGGAAGUUGGCUUGAGGGCAUUGGGAGGGUCCAACCCACCAGAUGAAGGGAGAGGAGGUCCUUCCAUCUGGAAAAUGGGAAUGCUUGCAAAGAUUUACUUGAAGAUGAGUGCCAUAUAGAUAAUAAAACAUUAUUUUGUGGAAUUCCCCCAUUUACACAAAGAUUAAUACCCAUCAUUUAAAUACACAACAAAAUGGUUUCAGAAAAGAACAGAGCAAUGUUUAGAAAAAUAUCAUCUUUCUUCUCCCUUUUUCUCUUAGGGUCCAGUGUGCUUUGAAGACGUAGCUGUUCCUUUCACAGAGGAGGACUGGGCUUUGCUGGAUCCUGACCAGAGAGCUCUGCAGAAGGAAGUCAAGGAGGAGAAUCCUGGGAUCGUGGCCUCUCUGGUAAGGCUCCCUGCUGGAUCAUAAGAUCAGUUUUGAAAUUCCAUACAGAUCUCUGAAGGACAAACCUCCUCUAUUUUGAGGGAGCCCCAUAGCGCCACCUACAGCAUCUGAGAUGUUAACACACCCACAACUCUCCAUAGGAGAUGUAUCUCCUGUUCUGUCUGGGAAUAUUCGUCCACCAGUGCUGCCUUUUCCAACGGUGAGGAGGCUGGUCUGAGCUGCCCAGGCCUUCUUCAAUGUAAUCUUCAGAGAUAUUAAGGACAUGGAGGUACUUCCUGUCUAAUUUUCUGUUUCCCUUUCUGCUUCUGUUUUUGGUUGAGCAAAGAAAUGACUGAGCUUGGAGAUGGAGCGGAUUCCAUGACUGAGCCAAAUUAAAUCCAUCCCUGGAAAGAGCCAGGCUUUUCGAAUCUCCGGGUCCCAUAAAUACGUUAGCUAAUACCAGCCAAAAAAGGCAGUAACUCCCUUCCCUUCUUCCUCUUUCACAAACAUUCAUUUGCAUUCUUCAGUCAUUUCAGCCUCAAUUUCUUUCUCAGGCUAGGAUUAUUAUUAUUAUUAUUAUUAUUAUUAUUAUUGAUAUCAGGAAACUUGAUGAGGAAUUAAGGGGAAAGACAGUGUUGACCCAGAGUAGUUACAAAAUGUAUGUUCUCUCCCCAAGUGCCACAGACCCUCCUCCAAAGAGAGCUUCUCUGAAGAAAGCACAAGCAAAAAUUACUCAAUUUUACGUGAAUAAGGAAAAUGAGGAGGUGGCUAAGAAACAGCAGGAGCCAGAUCCUAUUACUGACCUUAUAGGAUCUCUCAGCAGCUCUAAGGAUGAGCAGAAAGAGGUUUUGGGCCCAGGCAGCUCAACUGCUAAGUCAUCUCUGGCACUGAGACCAGGAGCUCAAGCGACUCAAGCCCAAAUUCAGGCUAAACAAGUAGAGGAACUAAUGUUAAAAAUUACAAAAUAGUGCAAUAUUAAAAAGUUGACUUUAAAAAACUUUUGAACCUGCUUGAGAGCAGCUCAUGCUCUGGGUCCAGACAGAACACUAAGAAGCUUGUACUAUGCUAGAAUCUGCACACCAGAUCCCUAUAUCAAUAUGAAACGAUAUGCAAGGUUAUCAAAUGGUCUGAUGUCCUGUCAAAAGCCAAAACCAAACCAACUAGGGAGAGGGUUUUCAUAAAAAGGAAUUGGAAAUGGGUGCUGUCUCAAAAUAAGCUACUUCUCUCAAGCUACCCUAAGCCUUUGGGAAUCUUGUCACAAGAGGAGCGUAAAGUUUGUGAAGAUGGUGUAUAAGCACAGAGAAUAUCUAAGGAAGAGUGGUGUAUCAGUCUCAAGAUUAUUCCAAAAUGUGGCAUCACCAGCUCCUCUGCUUCCACAUACAGCAACACCUCCAAAAAGUCCUCAGUUCAAGGCAGACUAUCCUGCUUUAAUUGACAAAGAUUCUGCAGGUGACAAUCCUGACUAGCCAGCUGACCUGGACCCCAAGGAACCCCCUAACUCAAAGACCCCGGGGUCUUUGCAGUUGAGGAAUCUGGGGAAGGACCUACUUGACAGAACUGAAAAGAAUUGUUUACAUGCCUUCUGUGCUCUGCCACAAGACGCCCAGAAUGAAAUAUUCUCCAGAUUUGACCUCUGACGUUCCUGCCUAAUAAGUUUGAAGAAGGAACACAAGGGCUCAUGCAAGUAGAACUUGACUCUUUGUGCUCCAGAUCCAGCCCACCAGAUAUUCCAGCGUGAGUUGAAUUUAUGGGCUGAAAAGCCACCUCCCCCCACCAGGUUAAUGAACCCUCUUUCCUACCAAUUGGAG